Molecule: long non-coding RNA, 1020 nt
Filed under: Canis lupus dingo (dingo)
Lineage: Eukaryota; Metazoa; Chordata; Mammalia; Carnivora; Canidae
Description: lncRNA (ENSCAFG00020007686.1)
Source: RNAcentral
UGUCCUCUCCUCUUGGAACCGAGCAAGCCCAGGGAGUGCGGGGCCCGCCUCCCCAUCUGCCUGAACCCCCAGUGAAGACCCCCUCGGCCUCCCGCGGCAUUCUCAGUCCUUGUGAAAGGUCUGUAUUCCCUGAGCCAUUAGGACCCUGAAGCGGAGAACACCCCAUCUGCGCGCCCCCCAGGAGCAGCCCCCGCCGCGGCCGGUGAGUCCGCACCGGGUACAGGAUGGAACACGGGGAAGGGGGGGCUGGAAGCCCUGGGGCACCGGCACCGUCGGGGGGUUCUGGCUGUAGGCGGGUGUUCUGUGGCGCAGCUUCUGCACCUGGGGACCACACGGCACACGUUGUUCAUUUACUUGGAGACUUGGACGCGGUGGCUUGUCCUGCCCACUCCCGGUGCCACCGCCCAGACGCUUUUGCUCCUCAAGCGCCAUUCGUGUCCCGAUGCGAACCAGAGGCCUUCUUGUUUCCCUGCCCGGCCCGAUGCCACCUCCGACCCCACAGGCCCUCUCUCCUCGCCCGUCAAGCUCUGCCUUCCACCAGCACAGGCCUGUGGUGACUGUGUUCCCAGAAGCCCUUCUGCCCCCACCGAACCUGUUCGUUUCACAAAAGCAACCUGUGUUCCCUGGAGAACCUCAGAAGGCCGCCGCCCCCGCCCACCGGGGAUCAGUCCCGUCUCUGGGGCAGCCCCCCUUGUAGACUCAAACACACGCAGGAAACACAGAUUCCCGACCCAUCAGUGGGCUGUCGCCUUGUGUUCUCACCGUGAACACGGCCCACCGUCCUCACCCCUAAGGAUCACAGGACUUUGGCUUGUUUGGCAUUUUCAUGAUUUAAUCAGCCUUCUCUUGAGAGCUCAUGCUUUCCGAACUGCAGACAAUGCUGCAGUGAACAUCUUCACCCAGUCGAGUUCCUUCAGUCUCGCAGGGACUCCCCAGGAUAAUUUCCUAGUGGUGAGAUUGCUGCAUCCAGGAGAAUGCAGUCCUAAGGGCUCUGUAGGAACAGCCAAGUAGAGGAGCAGG